GGCAACGGCGAACGGGUGCGUAACACGUGAGCAACUGCCUUUGUGUGGGGGAUAGCCGGGCUAACGCCCGGGUAAUACCGCAUACGGUUCCCGAGAGGAGUCUCUUGGGAAAGAAACCUCCGGGGCACAGAGAGGGGCUCGCGGCCUAUCAGCUAGUUGGCGGGGUAAUGGCCCACCAAGGCGACGACGGGUAGCUGGUCUGAGAGGAUGGCCAGCCACAUUGGGACUGAGAGACGGCCCAGACUCCUACGGGAGGCAGCAGUGGGGAAUCUUGCGCAAUGGGCCGAAAGGCUGACGCAGCGACGGCCGCGUGUGGGAGGACGCCUUUCGGGGUGUAAAACACUGUUGGCCCGGGACGAACAUCCCUUUUCCGAAGGGGGACUUGGACGGUACCCGGGUGAAGAAAGCACCGGGUAAAUCCCGUUGCCAACAGCCGCGGGUA
RNAcentral lists this ribosomal RNA (442 nucleotides) under uncultured bacterium. RNAcentral's name for it is "bacterial SSU rRNA". It matches the Rfam family "Bacterial small subunit ribosomal RNA", at positions 91 to 523 of the family's 1533-position model. The record is from RNAcentral.